GACGAACGCUGGCGGCGUGCUUAACACAUGCAAGUCGAACGGAAAGGUCCUGCGUUUGUGGGGUGCUCGAGUGGCGAACGCGUGAGUAACACGUGAGUAACCUGCCCUUGACUUUCGGAUAACUUCAGGAGACUGGGGCUAAUACCGGAUAGGAGCUCCCGCUGCACGGUGUGGGUUGGUAAGUUUCGGCUGUUCGGGAUGGACUCGCGGCUUAUCAGCUUGUUGGUGGGGUAGUGGCUUACCAAGGCUUUGACGGGUAGCCGGCAUGAGAGGGUGAACGGCCACAUUGGGACUGAGAUACGGCGCAGACUCCUACGGGAGGCAGCAGUGGGGAAUAUUGCACAAUGGGCGGAAGCCUGAUGCAGCAACGCCGCGUGCGGGAUGACGGCUUUCGGGGUGUAAACAGCUUUCGCCUGUGACGAAGCGUGAGUGACGGUAAUGGGUAAAGAAGCACCGGCUAACUACGUG
This 468-nucleotide ribosomal RNA is filed under the name uncultured bacterium. RNAcentral describes it as "partial 16S ribosomal RNA". It matches the Rfam family "Bacterial small subunit ribosomal RNA", at positions 28 to 507 of the family's 1533-position model. The record is from RNAcentral.